Capsicum annuum is the source of this 1498-nucleotide non-coding RNA. The record is from Rfam. NCBI's taxonomy places the organism in Eukaryota, Viridiplantae, Streptophyta, Magnoliopsida, Solanales, Solanaceae.
CUCAUGGAGAGUUCCAUCCUGGCUCAGGAUGAAUGCUAGCGGUAUGUUUAACACAUGUAAGUUGGAUGGGAAACAUGAGAAAUGGUGUUUUCAGUGGAGGACGGGUGAUUAAUGGUAAGAACAUUCCCUUGGGAGGGGAACAACAGUUGGAAAUAGCUGCUAUUACCCCGUAGGCUGAGAAGCAAAAGGAGGAAUCUGCCCGAGGAGGGGCUCGCAUCUGAUUAGUUAGUUGGUGGGGCAAUAUCUUACCAAGGCGAUGAUCAGUAGAUGGUCUAAAAGGAUGAUCAGCUAUACUGGGACUGAGACAUGACCCAGAAUCUUAUGGGAGGCAGCAGUGGGGAAUUUUUCGCUAUGGGCAAAAGCCUGUCGGAGCAAUUCUGCAUGGAGGUAUAAUGUCCACGGGUCAUGAACUUCUUUUCCUAGAGACAAAGCACUGAUGGUAUCUGGGGAAUAAGUAUUGGCUAACUCUAUGCCAGUAUCCAUGGUAAUACAGAGUAUGCAAGCAUUAUCAGGAAUCAUUGGGCGUAAAGCGUCUGUAGGUGGCUUUUUAAGUCCGCCAUCAAAUCCCAAGAUUCAACGCUGGACAGACGGUGGAAACUACCAAGCUGGAGUUUGGUAGGGGGUAGAGGGAAAUUUUGGUGGAGCAGUGAAAUAUGUAGAGAUCGGAAAGAACACUAACGGCAAAAGUACUCUACUGGGCCGACACUCACACUGAGAGACGAAACCUAAGGAAGCGAAUGAGUUAGAUACCCUAGUAGUCCUAACCAUAAAAAAUGACAACUAGGCUCUAUGCAUAUUGGCCCAUGUAGUACUGUAGUUAACACGUUAAGUAUCCCACCUGGGGAGUACAUUCGCAAGAAUGAAACUCAAAGGAAUUGACGGCGACCCAUACAAGUAGUGGAGCAUGUGGUUUAAUUUGAUAUAAAGCAAAGAACCUUACCAGGGCUUGAAAUAUUGUGAAUUCUCUUGAAAGAAAAGGGUACCUUAAAGAAUGCAGACACAGGUGGUGCAUGGUUGUCGUUAGCUCGUGCUAUAAGGUGUUGGGUUAAGUCACUCAACAACCACAACCCUCAUGUUUAGUUACCAUCAUUGAGUUUGGAACCCUGAACAAACUGCCGAUGAUAAGCCAGAAGAAGGUGAGGCUGAUUUGAAGUCAUUAUGCCCCUUAUUCCUUGGGCAAUAUGCGUGCUAUAAUGGUUGGAACAAAGGGUAGCAAUCUCAUAAGGGUGAGCUAACCGCCAAAACUCAUCCUCAGUUUGGAUAGGAGACCAUAACUCGCUUUUAUGAAGCCAAAAUCGCUAGUAAUCGUUAGUCAGCCAUACGGUGAUAAAUUCAUUAUCGGGCCUUUUACACACCGCCCAUUACACUAUGGGAGUUGGCCAUGCCCGAAGUCGUUACCUUAACUACAAGGAGGGUGAUGCCGAAGGCAGGGCUAGUGACUGGAGUGAAGUCAUAGCAAGGUAGCCAUACUGGAAGGCGUGGUUGGAUCACCUCCUUU